AGUAUUAGUUAAGUUCUUUAAACCCAAAGAAUUUGGCGGUAUUUCAUUCCAUUCAGAGGAACCUACCCCGUAAUCGAUAAUACACGAUAAAUAUUACUUAAUUUAUUUGUUUGUAUAUCUCCGUUAUCAGAAAAUCUUUAUAGAGUUAUAAUUUUCUUAAUUUAUAAUUAUAAAUUAUUUCAGGUCAAGGUGCAGCUUAUAAUUAAGAGGAGGUGGGUUACAAUAAUUUUUUUUAUUAUGGAUUUAUUAUUGAAAUUUUAAUAAUGAAGGUGGAUUUGAUAGUAAUUUAACUUAUUUAAUUUAAUUGAUAUUGGCUCUGAGGUGUGU
RNAcentral lists this ribosomal RNA (327 nucleotides) under Lentula obtusa. RNAcentral describes it as "partial 12S ribosomal RNA". Lineage: Eukaryota; Metazoa; Arthropoda; Insecta; Orthoptera; Lentulidae. The record is from RNAcentral.